UGAGGAAUAUUGGUCAAUGGGCGAGAGCCUGAACCAGCCAAGUAGCGUGCAGGAUGACGGCCCUAUGGGUUGUAAACUGCUUUUAUGUGGGGAUAAAGUGCGUGACGUGUCAUGCAUUGCAGGUACCACAUGAAUAGGACCGGCUAAUUCCGUGCCAGCAGCCGCGGUAAUACGGAAGGUCCGGGCGUUAUCCGGAUUUAUUGGGUUUAAAGGGAGCGUAGGCUGUCUAUUAAGCGUGUUGUGAAAUAUACCGGCUCAACCGGUGGCUUGCAGCGCGAACUGGUCGACUUGAGUAUGCAGGAAGUAGGCGGAAUUCAUGGUGUAGCGGUGAAAUGCUUAGAUAUCAUGACGAACUCCGAUUGCGCAGGCAGCUUACUGUAGCAUAACUGACGCUGAUGCUCGAAAGUGCGGGUAUCAAACAGG
This 423-nucleotide ribosomal RNA is filed under the name Fusobacteriota bacterium. RNAcentral's name for it is "Fusobacteria bacterium partial 16S ribosomal RNA". It matches the Rfam family "Bacterial small subunit ribosomal RNA", at positions 355 to 776 of the family's 1533-position model. The record is from RNAcentral. Lineage: Bacteria; Fusobacteriati; Fusobacteriota.